RNAcentral lists this ribosomal RNA (493 nucleotides) under Staphylococcus epidermidis. RNAcentral describes it as "bacterial SSU rRNA". It matches the Rfam family "Bacterial small subunit ribosomal RNA", at positions 38 to 515 of the family's 1533-position model. Lineage: Bacteria; Bacillati; Bacillota; Bacilli; Caryophanales; Staphylococcaceae. The record is from RNAcentral.
CGGGAGCAUGCUAUACAUGCAGUCGAGCGAACAGACGAGGAGCUUGCUCCUCUGACGUUAGCGGCGGACGGGUGAGUAACACGUGGAUAACCUACCUAUAAGACUGGGAUAACUUCGGGAAACCGGAGCUAAUACCGGAUAAUAUAUUGAACCGCAUGGUUCAAUAGUGAAAGACGGUUUUGCUGUCACUUAUAGAUGGAUCCGCGCCGCAUUAGCUAGUUGGUAAGGUAACGGCUUACCAAGGCAACGAUGCGUAGCCGACCUGAGAGGGUGAUCGGCCACACUGGAACUGAGACACGGUCCAGACUCCUACGGGAGGCAGCAGUAGGGAAUCUUCCGCAAUGGGCGAAAGCCUGACGGAGCAACGCCGCGUGAGUGAUGAAGGUCUUCGGAUCGUAAAACUCUGUUAUUAGGGAAGAACAAAUGUGUAAGUAACUAUGCACGUCUUGACGGUACCUAAUCAAGAAAGCCACGGCUAACUACGUGCCAGAGC